Molecule: ribosomal RNA, 253 nt
Filed under: uncultured bacterium
Lineage: Bacteria
Description: partial 16S ribosomal RNA
Rfam family: Bacterial small subunit ribosomal RNA
Source: RNAcentral
UACGUAGGGGGCUAGCGUUGUCCGGAUUUACUGGGCGUAAAGAGCGUGUAGGCGGCCAGAUAGGUCUGCUGUGAAAACUCGAGGCUCAACCUCGAGAUGUCGGCGGAAACCAUUUGGCUAGAGUCCGGAAGAGGAAAGUGGAAUUCCUGGUGUAGCGGUGAAAUGCGCAGAUAUCAGGAAGAACACCCGUGGCGAAGGCGGCUCUCUGGAACGCAACUGACGCUGAGACGCGAAAGCGUGGGGAGCAAACAGG